GAUGAACGCUGGCGGCGUGCCUAAUACAUGCAAGUCGAGCGAACAGACGAGGAGCUUGCUCCUCUGACGUUAGCGGCGGACGGGUGAGUAACACGUGGAUAACCUACCUAUAAGACUGGGAUAACUUCGGGAAACCGGAGCUAAUACCGGAUAAUAUAUUGAACCGCAUGGUUCAAUAGUGAAAGACGGUUUUGCUGUCACUUAUAGAUGGAUCCGCGCCGCAUUAGCUAGUUGGUAAGGUAACGGCUUACCAAGGCAACGAUGCGUAGCCGACCUGAGAGGGUGAUCAGCCACACUGGAACUGAGACACGGUCCAGACUCCUACGGGAGGCAGCAGUAGGGAAUUUUCCGCAAUGGGCGAAAGCCUGACGGAGCAACGCCGCGUGAAGGAUGAAGGUCUUUGGAUCGUAAAACUCUGUUAUUAGGGAAGAACAAACUUGUAAGAAAAUAGGGACGUCUUGACGGUACCUUAACAGAAAGCCACGGCUAACUACGUG
This 497-nucleotide ribosomal RNA is filed under the name uncultured bacterium. RNAcentral's name for it is "partial 16S ribosomal RNA". It matches the Rfam family "Bacterial small subunit ribosomal RNA", at positions 28 to 507 of the family's 1533-position model. The record is from RNAcentral.